UUUCUUCAUAAGUAGAAGUGAUUUUACCAUUGAGGCUGAGUCAUAAGCUGUAUGAUGGAAAACGUUGCUGAAAUGAAGACUGCCUUCAAAUUACCUGGGAAGACCAUAUCUGUGCUGAACUAUACCGAAGAGACAAUAAUGGUUUCAGCAAAGAUACUGUGUCUGCAGAUAUAUUCUCUUGUUCCAUUCAUUCAUAAUUAUGAAGAAAAGAAACAAGCCUGCUUUCUGGGGGAGGGGGAGAUAGCGGAGGAGGGUGCCUUGAAGAGUGGUUCGAUAUCUGGAUCGAACAGAGGAACUUUUCCCCCCUUAGGAUCCUGCCUGGAGAAACCUUGACAUGCACAAAGUCAGAACCUAGACAAAGUUGCCCUGGUGAGAACGAUAAGGUCACCCGUGGGAUUGCUAAGAUUAUCUCUGUCAAGCACUUGGACAGCAUGCAGUCAAAUGAUGCAUCAUGCAGUCAUUUUCAGGGGGGGAAAUCAAUUUCUUCACCAGGUCGCUAUUUGCUUUUCAAAGUGCCCUUGUAGGCCUUCCACCACCAAGCAUUUAUCAAUUUAAAUGUUGUAAAUUGAUAAUGUGCCACUGUAACUUGUACUGUUUCUGAAUUAUUUUGAUACUUCUCUUUUCUCUGUGGUCCCCCAAUCCUUCAGUGCAUUUAUAUUUUAAAAGGGUUUCCCCCUUUCUCUUUUCAGCUAAACGAACAACAAAAACAACACCCCCCAAGCCUAAUAAAUACUUUAAUUUUGUGUUUGUUUGUUGCU
Long non-coding RNA from Podarcis raffonei (Aeolian wall lizard), 758 nucleotides. RefSeq lists it as uncharacterized. The record is from RefSeq and is a predicted model, not a curated record. Lineage: Eukaryota; Metazoa; Chordata; Lepidosauria; Squamata; Lacertidae. The transcript is spliced from 2 exons.